UAGAGUUUGAUCAUGGCUCAGAUUGAACGCUGGCGGCAGGCCUAACACAUGCAAGUCGAGCGGUAACACAAGGGAGCUUGCUCCUGAGGUGACGAGCGGCGGACGGGUGAGUAAUGCCUAGGUAUCUGCCCAGUCGAGGGGGAUAACAGUUGGAAACGACUGCUAAUACCGCAUACGCCCUACGGAGGAAAGGAGGGGACCUUCGGGCCUUUCGCGAUUGGAUGAACCUAGGUGGGAUUAGCUAGUAGGUGGGGUAAUGGCUCACCUAGGCGACGAUCCCUAGCUGGUCUGAGAGGAUGAUCAGCCACACUGGAACUGAGACACGGUCCAGACUCCUACGGGAGGCAGCAGUGGGGAAUAUUGCACAAUGGGCGAAAGCCUGAUGCAGCCAUGCCGCGUGUAUGAAGGAGGCCUUCGGGUUGUAAAGUACUUUCAGCGAGGAGGAAAGCUCAAUUGUUAAUAGCAGUUGGGUGUGACGUUACUCGCAGAAGAAGCACCGGCUAACUUCGUGCCAGCAGCCGCGGUAAUACGAGGGGUGCAAGCGUUAAUCGGAAUUACUGGGCGUAAAGCGUACGCAGGCGGUUUGUUAAGCGAGAUGUGAAAGCCCCGGGCUCAACCUGGGAACUGCAUUUCGAACUGGCAAACUAGAGUCCUGUAGAGGGGAGUAGAAUUUCA
This 675-nucleotide ribosomal RNA is filed under the name uncultured Vibrionaceae bacterium. RNAcentral's name for it is "bacterial SSU rRNA". It matches the Rfam family "Bacterial small subunit ribosomal RNA", at positions 1 to 671 of the family's 1533-position model. Lineage: Bacteria; Pseudomonadati; Pseudomonadota; Gammaproteobacteria; Vibrionales; Vibrionaceae. The record is from RNAcentral.